This 102-nucleotide microRNA precursor is filed under the name Marmota monax (woodchuck). Lineage: Eukaryota; Metazoa; Chordata; Mammalia; Rodentia; Sciuridae. The record is from RNAcentral.
AUUGGAAUCAACCAGGGAUUUGUUAAAAUGCAGAUUAUGAUUCAGUUUUCUAGGUUGAGGCUCAGUCUCUGUGUUUUUAACAAGUUCCCAGGUGAUGCUGCC